UAGGGAAUCUUCCACAAUGGACGCAAGUCUGAUGGAGCAACGCCGCGUGAGUGAAGAAGGUUUUCGGACCGUAAAGCUCUGUUGUUGGUGAAGAAGGAUAGAGGUAGUAACUGGCCUUUAUUUGACGGUAAUCAACCAGAAAGUCACGGCUAACUACAUGCCAGCAGCCGCGGUAAUACGUAGGUGGCAAGCGUUGUCCGGAUUUAUUGGGCGUAAAGCGAGCGCAGGCGGAAGAAUAAGUCUGAUGUGAAAGCCCUCGGCUUAACCGAGGAAAUUGCAUCGGAAACUGUUUUUCUUGAGUGCAGAAGAGGAGAGUAGAACUCCAUGUGUAGCGGUGGAAUGCGUAGAUAUAUGGAAGAAUACCAGUGGCGAAGGCGGCUCUCUGGUCUGCAACUGACGCUGAGGCUCGAAAGCAUGGGUAGCGAACAGGAUUAGAUACCCUGGUAGUCCAUGCCGUAAAACGAUGAGUGCUAAGUGUUGGGAGGCUUCCGCCUCUCAGUGCUGCAGCUAACGCAUUAAGCACUCCGCCUGGGGGAGUACGACCGCAAGGU
RNAcentral lists this ribosomal RNA (551 nucleotides) under uncultured bacterium. Its description in RNAcentral is "partial 16S ribosomal RNA". It matches the Rfam family "Bacterial small subunit ribosomal RNA", at positions 355 to 894 of the family's 1533-position model. The record is from RNAcentral.